RNAcentral lists this ribosomal RNA (249 nucleotides) under uncultured bacterium. RNAcentral describes it as "partial 16S ribosomal RNA". It matches the Rfam family "Bacterial small subunit ribosomal RNA", at positions 524 to 775 of the family's 1533-position model. The record is from RNAcentral.
UACAGAGGGGGCAAGCGUUGUUCGGAAUUACUGGGCGUAAAGGGCGCGUAGGCGGCCUGCUAAGUCGAACGUGAAAUCCCUGGGCUCAACCCAGGAACUGCGUCCGAUACUGGUUGGCUUGAAUCCGGGAGAGGGAUGUGGAAUUCCAGGUGUAGCGGUGAAAUGCGUAGAUAUCUGGAGGAACACCGGUGGCGAAGGCGACAUCCUGGACCGGUAUUGACGCUGAGGCGCGAAGCCAGGGAGCAACGG